RNAcentral lists this ribosomal RNA (478 nucleotides) under uncultured bacterium. RNAcentral's name for it is "partial 16S ribosomal RNA". It matches the Rfam family "Bacterial small subunit ribosomal RNA", at positions 28 to 507 of the family's 1533-position model. The record is from RNAcentral.
GAUGAACGCUGGCGGCGUGCUUAACACAUGCAAGUCGAACGAGAAAUGUAGACGGACACCUUCGGGCGGAAGCCUUCAUUUCGAGUGGCGGACGGGUGAGUAACGCGUGGGUAACCUGCCUCAUACAGGGGGAUAACAGUUGGAAACGACUGUUAAUACCGCAUAAGACCACAGCAUCGCAUGAUGCGGGGGUAAAAACUCCGGUGGUAUGAGAUGGACCCGCGUUCGAUUAGCCAGUUGGCGGGGUAACGGCCCACCAAAGCGACGAUCGAUAGCCGAUCUGAGAGGAUGACCGGCCACAUUGGGACUGAGACACGGCCCAAACUCCUACGGGAGGCAGCAGUGGGGAAUAUUGCACAAUGGGGGAAACCCUGAUGCAGCGACGCCGCGUGAGUGAAGAAGUACUUCGGUAUGUAAAGCUCUAUCAGCAGGGAAGAAAAUGACGGUACCUGAGUAAGAAGCCCCGGCUAACUACGUA